Molecule: ribosomal RNA, 381 nt
Filed under: Pinnularia sp. DM-MEX032
Lineage: Eukaryota; Bacillariophyta; Bacillariophyceae; Sellaphorales; Pinnulariaceae
Description: SSU rRNA
Rfam family: Eukaryotic small subunit ribosomal RNA
Source: RNAcentral
AUUCCAGCUCCAAUAGCGUAUAUUAAAGUUGUUGCAGUUAAAAAGCUCGUAGUUGGAUUUGUGGUGCUGCUUGCAGUCCAAUUAGCUUUGGUGCUAGCGGGUGGUGCCAUCUUUGGAUGGAACCUGUGGGGCAUUAGCUUGUUUUGCAGGGGAAAUUCAUCGUUUACUGUGAAAAAAUUAGAGUGUUCAAAGCAGGCUUACGCCGUUGAAUAUACUAGCAUGGAAUAAUGAAAUAGGACUUUGGUACUAUUUUGUUGGUUUGCGCGCCAAAGUAAUGAUUAAUAGGGACAGUUGGGGGUAUUCGUAUUCCAUAGUCAGAGGUGAAAUUCUUGGAUUUUUGGAAGACGAACUACUGCGAAAGCAUUUACCAAGGAUGUUUUC